This is a long non-coding RNA of Cyprinus carpio (common carp), 494 nucleotides long. RefSeq lists it as uncharacterized. The transcript has 2 exons. NCBI's taxonomy places the organism in Eukaryota, Metazoa, Chordata, Actinopteri, Cypriniformes, Cyprinidae. The record is from RefSeq and is a predicted model, not a curated record.
AGAUGAGACUGGUGAUGAAGAGAUAAUUUAUGCUGAACCUACUUUCCACAAACAAGAUGCACCAAAAUUGAAACAUAACGAUGAGGAGCAUGUGGAGGAGGAUCCAGUGGCAUAUGCAUCAGCAUUAGAAGAUCAUCUUUAACCUUUUCUAAUUAUGAGAUCCAGCAGUAGGAUUGUCUUUGCUAUAGGAACCUCCAGAGACAUUUAGAUAGGUUGAAUUUUGAGGCUGGAGAAAAGAAUCACCACACACCACACAAAAAAUCCUAAUAAACAGCAGUGUCAUUCUGAGGGGCUUCAAAUGUGAUAUUCAGAAACAAAUGGUCUCUUUGAAAAAAUAGGCCGCAUUGUGGUGCAAAGUCUUUUAUCAAUGAUCCAUGCUGUACAACCAAUUUAGCAUUUCCACAUUUGACUCUAAAACCCCCAAAACUAAUUCAUAUGGUGUGUGUUCAUUAAUGUCUCAUUUAUUAUAAAUAAUAAAUAUUACUAUUAUCUUA